GUGCUCAGUUUGGCAACACAUUUCCUAAAAUUAGAAUGAUACAGAAGAGAUUAGCAUGGUCUCUGAACAAUGAUGACACUCACAUUUUUAAAGUAUUUUAUAUUUAA
Molossus molossus (Pallas's mastiff bat) is the source of this 107-nucleotide small nuclear RNA. NCBI's taxonomy places the organism in Eukaryota, Metazoa, Chordata, Mammalia, Chiroptera, Molossidae. The record is from RefSeq and is a predicted model, not a curated record.